GGAGAGAUGGCAGAGUGGUCGAAUGCGGCGGCCUCGAAAACCGUUAAUAGGGCAACUUAUUCGGGGGUUCGAAUCCCCCUCUCUCCGCCA
This 90-nucleotide transfer RNA is filed under the name bacterium. RNAcentral's name for it is "tRNA-Ser". It matches the Rfam family "tRNA". Rfam says of the family: Transfer RNA (tRNA) molecules are approximately 80 nucleotides in length. Their secondary structure includes four short double-helical elements and three loops (D, anti-codon, and T loops). Further hydrogen bonds mediate the characteristic L-shaped molecular structure. tRNAs have two regions of fundamental functional importance: the anti-codon, which is responsible for specific mRNA codon recognition, and the 3' end, to which the tRNAs corresponding amino acid is attached (by aminoacyl-tRNA synthetases). tRNAs cope with the degeneracy of the genetic code in two manners: having more than one tRNA (with a specific anti-codon) for a particular amino acid; and 'wobble' base-pairing, i.e. permitting non-standard base-pairing at the 3rd anti-codon position. RNAcentral also lists the same sequence under 1 other name. The record is from RNAcentral.